Long non-coding RNA from Hylaeus volcanicus, 3805 nucleotides. RefSeq lists it as uncharacterized. The transcript is spliced from 2 exons. NCBI's taxonomy places the organism in Eukaryota, Metazoa, Arthropoda, Insecta, Hymenoptera, Colletidae. The record is from RefSeq and is a predicted model, not a curated record.
UACAGUAAAGACUGGAUAAGCGCAAGAAAAUUUCCAAACAUUGCAAACGUAGAAAAUGACAGAGAAGAACCCACCAAGUGGCGAGGAUAGUCAUCUUGCAUUUAUCCAGUGAAUCCUGUCUUGCACUUAUUCAGUUUUUACUAUAGAAAGCUGCAAGGAUCGGUACGGUACGAGAUGCACCCCGUGGAAAGACUAGAUCCCGAAAAACCCGGAACCCUCGUCUGCUCCGUUCACGCAGCCAAAGCCACGUGCGUGGCCUGCCCUAACCAUUCCCACGUGUCGCUGCAACGGGGCGUUUCGCGCCAAUUCCCAUCGUGCGUGACACGUCACGUUCGAUUGGAAUCGCUCGGAGUUUGUAAACAGACCUCGCCACGAAGAACGACGAAGAAGAAGCCGCGAAAACCUCGUGGCUGAGCGUGUCUAAAACCAUCGACGCGUACGAGCGUUCCGAGCGUUCUCGCUCCUCGUGAAUGACGCCUCCGCUGGUUCUUUCUGGUUCGAGCAGCCAUUCACCGAAUCGUCGACGCCGGGGUCCGGACCGGUUCGAACCGGUAUGCCCGACGGAGUCUCGGUUGGCUCGAUUAGCGCUUAGCAAUUAUUGAAUACCCAGCCGCUCGACGAUAACGUUCCGCGCUUUUAUUCUCACUUCCUCGAUCGAGACUCGAUCUCACGGGUCUGUUCAAUCGGUUCACGCGUACGGACUUGACUCGCGUCGGGUGGAGUGAGCUAUGGUGGAUACUACGAACCCUGGUGGAUACAGUGAACAGGAGUAUAGCUGCACGCGGGUGCAAGUUCGGAUUGUUUCCUCGCGAGAAGAACAUGGCGACGUGGCGAGACUACUGGGACGUCGCGCAACAUCGAGAAGCCGACCAAGGGAGCGUGCGAGCGGAAAAAAACGUAGCGCAGCCGGCAUUUAAAUAAUCAAGAAGCAGUGCACGGAUGCGAGAGGGAAUUAGACGCUAAAGAAGUUUAAAAGGGCCAAUAUACAGGGCGGGCUCCUUCCCAGGAAUUAUGGUCCCUGGGCCGCGUGGGCUGACCCCUCCGGUGUUCUCGUCGUCUCGCGGAAGUCCGCCAUUAAAACAGCUGGAUCGAGCCAGAUCUCGCGAGACGAAUCUUGCCUCUUCACUGUCACGGGUUUGACCUCGAUCUCGGAUAUCCUCGAGGCGCGGACCGUGCCGUAUCCUCGGGACCUCGCGAGGAUAUUCGACGUCCAAUAAAACGUGCCGCGAUCCUGCGGGACGUGUUUACAACGGAAACACCCGCUAUCUUCCUCGCUCUUUCCGAAAACAACGGGGGCUCGUAACACGAAUUCUGGAAGGCGUGGCAGCUGUAUGUACAAAGCCACUGGCAAAUAUCCUUCGCGUGAUCCAACCCCCCUGCUCCUUCGAAGGAUCCUGGUUAGAGCAUUCUCAAACUCUAAUUUUAUUAAAAAUUUUCUUUCGCGUCCCCCCACCCCCACCCCCUCCCCCAGGCAACGCCUGAACCAGCGGUUCACUGUUUUACGGGAUCGUCGACAUCGUCGUUCGUUGCAAAAGGGCCGUCGCGAACCUUGAAGUCAACUACGAACGUUGCAUACCGUGGCGAUACACGUAAACGCUGUCUAACCGUGCGACGACGGAAAGAAUCGAAAUUAAACCAAACGGAAAAUGUCGAGAGACAGUUCCCAUCGAAAUCUCAUUCUCGUCCGACGGCUGUAUCGUUGAAAGCAAACACGCCCUGGAAAAUCACGUGCGCGCGAUGUACGUGGAAAUUUAUAUUUUAUACGGGACGAGAACAUCUCUUUGCAAUUUCCACAGUGUCCUGAACCCGGGAUGAUAUCGAGAUCGAUCAAGCUUCCGUCUAUUUCUCGAGAUGUCGACAGGUUGAAAAUAGAUUCAUCGUGUCGCGCGUACGUGCGCGACGUGAUUCAAAUCGGGUAGAAAACCUAAUCGAAACACGAGUGCGUUCGACGAUAUCGAAUGAACGUUGACCGAGUCCGAUCGUCGAUCGAACCGAGACCGUCGCUAAGAUGACCUAUAACGAGACCGUAACUACGAUAGACUAUCGACUCGAGAGAAGGACGACAACGUUGAAAGAUGGAUAAUUUCGCGACGACGAUACCGAAGCAGGCAGAAGAGGAAUUGGACGAGGAAAUACAGUGGAACGGACUGGAAGCGUGUGCACGGCCCCCUGACACACAUCGACUUGUUAAAAUAACGACAUAAUGGCUAAUUUAGCGAUAAUAAGCGCGAACCGUAUCGUUCAAAUUAGCGUCGAAGGUGAGACGAGACCGACAAGGAGAGACGUUCGAGGAGCAAGAAAAAAAAAGAGACGAGAGAAACGUCGGACAGACGUGUCAGAACUUCUACCGCAUUACGCUAUUUUCGUACAACUCCUGUCAUCUGGCGGUCACUCCACGAAACACUUUACCGAGUCAGGGACGUAACGCGACGAUCGACUUUAGUGGACUCUAUGAAUUAAAAAGCGAGCUAAUUAUGUUCCAGUGGCAUUUUCAGAAAGAAAUUGCGAAAGGAAAAAUGAUGAAAUAAAAAGUUGAACGUCUAACUUGCGCGCAAUCUCGGCCAGCGAUAUAAAAAAAAACGGUUGUUACCCCGUCGAAGUCAACGAUCUUGAACAAAAACAUUCGCGAUGGUCAAGGGAAGUAAUUGUCAGUAGCGUACAUAUUUCAACGAUCGGGACGAUCUCGAUCGCGUGUUGUACACUGGCGAUUUUUCGUCGGGUCGCCGGACAUUAGCUUACACAGCUAAUCGGCAUUGUCGUCGCCGUUUCCGAAGGGACAGCAAUUUUCUUUUAUUAUAGCUUCUAUUAUGCGGACGAUUCAUCCGUGGACCCCUGAAAUUUAGGGCGAACCUCGUGAUACAUAAAAAUAAGGCUGCUAUACGCGUUCAAUCCGUGGCAACCUGCCAAGAUAAAAACACAUUCGUAGAAACCUAUUCUAAGCUCGAAACUGCGCCGUAUAAGGAAACUUGUCAACGUUUGAAAACAAAUUUCGAAAGCGCAACAUUUGUCCGGUAUAACUAGAGGGCAGUACGGAUUGCGAAACAAAGAGGCAGGAAAUAUUUUCAUAUGUGGUCGUUGGUCACGAACUUUCCGUGGAGAGGGAUAGGAAAGUAGGCUGUGCAACAUUUCUAGGGGAUUUUAUUGCCUGUCACUUCGCCUUCUCCCGUGGGAUGGCAAUCGUUGCCGACACACUCAGGCCUUGACAUGAAUCUGUACAGUAAAAUUUGUCAAAUAUCUGUCUCAUCCUCCUACCGGAGUCAUAUUUGGUUAAAUUUUGUUUGGAAACAAAUUUACCGAAUACUAUUUCGUAUCGUAUUAUCGAGAAACGUGGAAAAUAACACGCUUUGUUGAUUCCAUACUGAACGAAUUCUAACAGUACUGUAGCAUGCUUAUCCUCGUAAACAAGAACGCGACCUCUGAGCAUUUUCAUUUUUCCGGUUGACUGUAGACAAAAAUGCGCGGAAUCGUAUUCGAAUGUAACCAUAAAUUAUACUGUUGUAUUUCAUUUUGCGGUUGAAUAAUAUUUCUUAUUUCACGGAUACAGGAUCAUUCGUCGCGAAUGUACGAUUACACGAAUGAUACUCCUCUAUGGAACACUCAUCGCAAUUAACCAUAUCAGUAGGUAUUCACUUUUUUUCUGUCACAAUUAGUAACAUUACUAAUUAGUAAGAACGGCGUAACUUUAGUCGCGAACAUCGAGCUGGCCCAUUCGGCUACUUUUAUUGUACAAAGUCUACGACCCUGUACAUGUAAACGUUAUUAAACGUUGUUAAAGAAAAUAAAAUAUGCAAAGAGACGAGACGGA